Drosophila montana is the source of this 668-nucleotide long non-coding RNA. RefSeq lists it as uncharacterized. Lineage: Eukaryota; Metazoa; Arthropoda; Insecta; Diptera; Drosophilidae. The transcript has 2 exons. The record is from RefSeq and is a predicted model, not a curated record.
CACAAACGAAAAACCAAAUGACGCGCCACACAACAAAAACGAAAAGAAGCAGUAGAAGUAAAAAAAUUGGGCAGCAAAAAGCAUUAUCAAGGGAGCAUUGGCUAAGAAGAAACCGAGUGAGAUACAAGUACAAUAAAGUGAGAUAGCACACUUUGUGGCGGCCUAUCAUAAGGUCUAUUUAUUAUAUAAAGUCUACAUGGCCUGUCAGCUACCUGCAGUUUGGUACAAUAUGUACCCGAUGCCGGGUCUGCCGAGGAGUGCACGCACUGCGGAAAUGCCAACGCUUCCUGACCCUGAGCCCUAAGAAGCGCCUCCGGGCAGUACUCAUCAACAAGAACUGCCCUAACUGCCUGGCCCACGAGCACACAUCACGCUCCUGUGGUAAGGAUCACCACAGCUUGCUCCAUAUUAAAGGAGAGGAGACGAAGUGAAAAGUACACCCAAGGCCCCGCAUACCAAGGCGCAGAAGGCGAAAACUGGAACUCGCGCCUCUUGGCGCACCCUUUCCGCUGUACCCACAUUAGGAAACGCAAAGUCCAAAGAGUCGCAUCGAUGUAUCUUUGUCAACGGCUGUCGGGCUUUCCGUCUUUCGCAUCGGUUCAGAAGGGGCUUGUACUGUAGUUGUAGUUUUUGACUUCACUUGAAUUAAAUGUGUAUUCGACAUCCAA